GGACCUGACUGCUAUCGGAUUGAUANUAAGCCAUGCGAGUCUUUGCAGUAAUGCAAGGCAUACGGCUCAGUAACACGUAGUCAACCUAACCUAUGGACGGGAAUAACCUCGGGAAACUGAGAAUAAUGCCCGAUAGAACAUUAUGCCUGGAAUGGUUUAUGUUCCAAAUGAUUUAUCGCCGUAGGAUGGGACUGCGGCCUAUCAGUUUGUUGGUGAGGUAAUGGCCCACCAAGACUAUUACAGGUACGGGCUCUGAGAGGAGUAGCCCGGAGAUGGGUACUGAGACACGGACCCAGGCCCUAUGGGGCGCAGCAGGCGAGAAAACUUUGCAAUGUGCGAAAGCACGACAAGGUUAAUCCGAGUGGUUUCUGCUAAAGAAACCUUUUGUCAGUCCUAGAAACACUGAUGAAUAAGGGGUGGGCAAGUUCUGGUGU
RNAcentral lists this ribosomal RNA (434 nucleotides) under uncultured archaeon. Its description in RNAcentral is "bacterial SSU rRNA". It matches the Rfam family "Archaeal small subunit ribosomal RNA", at positions 19 to 458 of the family's 1478-position model. The record is from RNAcentral.